This is a regulatory RNA element of Aurantimonas sp. 22II-16-19i, 159 nucleotides long. It matches the Rfam family "speF leader". Rfam says of the family: This family is a putative regulatory RNA structure that is found upstream of the speF gene encoding ornithine decarboxylase in Agrobacterium tumefaciens and other alpha-proteobacteria. Lineage: Bacteria; Pseudomonadati; Pseudomonadota; Alphaproteobacteria; Hyphomicrobiales; Aurantimonadaceae. The record is from Rfam.
CUCCUGGUCUCCAUCGCCGGGAAUACUGAAGAGGCACACCUUCCUUGCCUGAAGUGCGGCGGGUUCAAGCCCUCCAAACCAUGGCAGACGAAAGCGGAAUGCUCGCGUUUUCUGGCGCGGGUUUCCGACCAAGUCGCGUCGCGAAACCGUGACUCCCGA